CACCAGACUCCUACGGGAGGCAGCAGUGGGGAAUAUUGCACAAUGGGGGAAACCCUGAUGCAGCAACGCCGCGUGAGUGAAGAAGUAUUUCGGUAUGUAAAGCUCUAUCAGCAGGGAAGAAAAUGACGGUACCUGAAGAAGAAGCCCCGGCUAACUACGUGCCAGCAGCCGCGGUAAUACGUAGGGGGCAAGCGUUAUCCGGAUUUACUGGGUGUAAAGGGGGCGCAGACGGCAGCGCAAGCCAGGAGUGAAAGCCCGGGGCCCAACCCCGGGACUGCCCUUGGAACUGCGCGGCUGGAGUGCAGGAGGGGCAGGCGGAAUUCCUGGUGUAGCGGUGAAAUGCGUAGAUAUCAGGAGGAACACCGGUGGCGAAGGCGGCCUGCUGGACUGCGACUGACGUUGAGGCCCGAAAGCGUGGGGAGCAAACAGGAUUAGAUACCCGAGUA
Molecule: ribosomal RNA, 446 nt
Filed under: uncultured bacterium
Lineage: Bacteria
Description: partial 16S ribosomal RNA
Rfam family: Bacterial small subunit ribosomal RNA
Source: RNAcentral